Molecule: ribosomal RNA, 450 nt
Filed under: uncultured bacterium
Lineage: Bacteria
Description: bacterial SSU rRNA
Rfam family: Bacterial small subunit ribosomal RNA
Source: RNAcentral
GUGGGGAAUAUUGGACAAUGGGCGAAAGCCUGAUCCAGCCAUGCCGCGUGUGUGAAGAAGGUCUUCGGAUUGUAAAGCACUUUAAGUUGGGAGGAAGGGCAGUAAGUUAAUACCUUGCUGUUUUGACGUUACCAACAGAAUAAGCACCGGCUAACUUCGUGCCAGCAGCCGCGGUAAUACGAAGGGUGCAAGCGUUAAUCGGAAUUACUGGGCGUAAAGCGCGCGUAGGUGGUUUUGUAAGUUGGAGGUGAAAUCCCCGGGCUCAACCUGGGAACUGCCUCCAAAACUGCAUGACUAGAGUACGGUAGAGGGUAGUGGAAUUUCCUGUGUAGCGGUGAAAUGCGUAGAUAUAGGAAGGAACACCAGUGGCGAAGGCGACUACCUGGACUGAUACUGACACUGAGGUGCGAAAGCGUGGGGAGCAAACAGGAUUAGAUACCCCAGUAGUCC